UACGUAGGGUGCGAGCGUUGUCCGGAAUUAUUGGGCGUAAAGAGCUCGUAGGCGGCCUGUCACGUCGGAUGUGAAAACCCGGGGCUCAACCCCGGGCCUGCAUUCGAUACGGGCAGGCUGGAGUUCGGCAGGGGAGACUGGAAUUCCUGGUGUAGCGGUGAAAUGCGCAGAUAUCAGGAGGAACACCGGUGGCGAAGGCGGGUCUCUGGGCCGAUACUGACGCUGAGGAG
RNAcentral lists this ribosomal RNA (230 nucleotides) under uncultured microorganism. RNAcentral's name for it is "partial 16S ribosomal RNA". It matches the Rfam family "Bacterial small subunit ribosomal RNA", at positions 524 to 753 of the family's 1533-position model. The record is from RNAcentral.